RNAcentral lists this ribosomal RNA (444 nucleotides) under uncultured Proteiniphilum sp. RNAcentral describes it as "bacterial SSU rRNA". It matches the Rfam family "Bacterial small subunit ribosomal RNA", at positions 939 to 1382 of the family's 1533-position model. The record is from RNAcentral. Lineage: Bacteria; Pseudomonadati; Bacteroidota; Bacteroidia; Bacteroidales; Dysgonomonadaceae.
AUGUGGUUUAAUUCGAUGAUACGCGAGGAACCUUUACCCGGGCUUGAAAUGCAUCUGACCGGCCUUGAAAGAGGCACUCCCUUCGGGGCAGAUGUGUAGGUGCUGCAUGGUUGUCGUCAGCUCGUGCCGUGAGGUGUCGGCUUAAGUGCCAUAACGAGCGCAACCCUCAUCAUUAGUUACCAUCAGGUAAGGCUGGGGACUCUAAUGAGACUGCCAUCGUAAGAUGUGAGGAAGGUGGGGAUGACGUCAAAUCAGCACGGCCCUUACGUCCGGGGCGACACACGUGUUACAAUGGGUGGUACAAAGGGCAGCUACCUGGCGACAGGAUGCUAAUCUCGAAAACCGCUCUCAGUUCGGAUCGGAGUCUGCAACUCAACUCCGUGAAGCUGGAUUCGCUAGUAAUCGCGCAUCAGCCACGGCGCGGUGAAUACGUUCCCGGGCCUU